CAUGUCUGUAUGAAUCAUAUAUAUACAGUCUAGCCUGCCCACUGACAUAGUUUAACGGCCGCGGUAUACUGACCGUGCGAAGGUAGCAUAAUAAUUAGUCUUUUAAUUGGAGGCUGGUAUGAAUGGUUGGACAAGAGCUAAUCUGUCUUUAUUAUAAUAGUUGAACUUAACUUUUAAGUUAAAAGGCUUAAAUAAAUUAGCGGGACGAUAAGACCCUAUAAAGCUUUACAUAAAGCUUUGUGUUAGGUGAAAUUGGUAAUUAAUAUUUAAAAUAAAGUGUAUGUUGUGCUGGGGCGGCAAGGGUAAAAUUUGUAACUGUUCUUGUUUUUGGACAAUUAUUUUUGUGUUGUAAAGGAUCCUUUCUAGUGAUUAAAAGAUUAAGUUACUUUAGGGAUAACAGCGUAAUUUUCUUUGAGAGUUCAUAUCGAGAAGAAAGAUUGCGACCUCGAUGUUGAAUUAAGAUUUCUUUAUGGUGUAGCAGCUAUUUUAGAGGGUCUGUUCGACCUUUAAAUUCUUACAUGAUUUGAGUUCAGACCGGCGUGAGCCA
RNAcentral lists this ribosomal RNA (547 nucleotides) under Axianassa australis. Its description in RNAcentral is "partial 16S ribosomal RNA". It matches the Rfam family "Bacterial large subunit ribosomal RNA", at positions 1816 to 2628 of the family's 2925-position model. The record is from RNAcentral. Lineage: Eukaryota; Metazoa; Arthropoda; Malacostraca; Decapoda; Axianassidae.